This 622-nucleotide long non-coding RNA is filed under the name Vigna radiata. Its description in RNAcentral is "long non-coding RNA (VRAD_LNC014098)". Lineage: Eukaryota; Viridiplantae; Streptophyta; Magnoliopsida; Fabales; Fabaceae. The record is from RNAcentral.
UUGCCUUGUAACCUAUAACAGUGGCCCAACGCAACAGUUUCAAAAAGCAACUUUUCAAAUUGUUGGAGGUGGAGGAGGGUUUGGCGGAGGAGGAGGAGCAGGUGGAGGUGGUGAUGCUGGAGGAGGGUUUGGUGGUGGUGAGUUUUGAGUGAGGAGAGAGAAAAAUAUAUAGAGAAGAAAAAAUAGAGAGAAAAUGUUCAGAGAAAUUCAGAGGAGCAGAAGAGAGAGAAAGAAAAAGUUAACUCCAUUAGUGAAUAUUUAACGGCAGGGACUGAUUUGAAACAUUUUUUAUAACUUAGGAACCAAAGGUUGACAUUUUAAAAAACGGGGACUAAACUGAACACCAGCUUAUAACUUAGGGACCAAAAAGGGGUUUAAACCUUUUUAUAAAGAUUAGUGUGCAUAAUGCAUGUGUAUUUACUUUUUUUUUUAUAAUAAUGAUUUCAAGGAGUAUUAGGAGGUCCUUCCCUUGCUAGAGUGGCCUUCUCAAUUUGUUGGAGAUGCAGUCAAUAUUCCCCUAUUAUGAUUCAUAUCAAGCCACAAUCAGUGGCAUUAUAUGAAGAACAUAUAACUACAUAAUACUCUGAAUUCAAAAGCAAAGGGAGAUACCAAGUUACCUACU